RNAcentral lists this ribosomal RNA (421 nucleotides) under uncultured prokaryote. RNAcentral's name for it is "bacterial SSU rRNA". It matches the Rfam family "Bacterial small subunit ribosomal RNA", at positions 358 to 796 of the family's 1533-position model. The record is from RNAcentral.
GGAAUUUUCCCCAAUGGGCGCAAGCCUGAGGGAGCAACGCCGCGUGCAGGACGACGGCCUUCGGGUUGUAAACUGCUUUUGCGUGGGACGAUAACGACGGUACCACGCGAAUCAGCCCCGGCUAACUCUGUGCCAGCAGCCGCGGUAAUACGGAGGAUGCAAGCGUUAUCCGGAAUGAUUGGGCGUAAAGCGUCCGCAGGUGGUUAUGCAAGUCUGCUGUUAAAGAGUGGAGCUUAACUCCAUAAAGGCGGUGGAAACUGCGUGACUAGAGUGCGUUCGGGGCAGAGGGAAUUCCUGGUGUAGCGGUGAAAUGCGUAGAUAUCAGGAAGAACACCGGUGGCGAAAGCGCUCUGCUAGGCCGUAACUGACACUGAGGGACGAAAGCUAAGGGAGCGAAUGGGAUUAGAUACCCCCGUAGUCC